Molecule: ribosomal RNA, 597 nt
Filed under: Chromoteleia sp. OSUC 265262
Lineage: Eukaryota; Metazoa; Arthropoda; Insecta; Hymenoptera; Scelionidae
Description: SSU rRNA
Rfam family: Eukaryotic small subunit ribosomal RNA
Source: RNAcentral
UACCACAUCCAAGGAAGGCAGCAGGCGCGCAAAUUACCCACUCCCGGCACGGGGAGGUAGUGACGAAAAAUAACGAUACGGGACUCAUUUGAGGCUCCGUAAUCGGAAUGAGUACACUUUAAAUCCUUUAACAAGGAUCAAUUGGAGGGCAAGUCUGGUGCCAGCAGCCGCGGUAAUUCCAGCUCCAAUAGCGUAUAUUAAAGUUGUUGCGGUUAAAAAGCUCGUAGUUGAAUCUGUGUGUUACGCUGUCGGUUCACCGCUCGCGGUGUUUAACUGAUACGCUCGUGACACGUCCUACCGGUGGACUUAGCUCCCAAUACCCUUGGGUUUGUGGGGCGGUCCUUUAUUAAUCCCGUCGCGGUGCUCUUUAUCGAGUGUCGAGGUGGGCCGGUACGUUUACUUUGAACAAAUUAGAGUGCUUAAAGCAGGCUACUUUCGCCUGAAUACUGUGUGCAUGGAAUAAUGGAAUAGGACCUCGGUUCUAUUUUGUUGGUUUUCGGAACACCGAGGUAAUGAUUAAUAGGGACAGAUGGGGGCAUUCGUAUUGCGACGUUAGAGGUGAAAUUCUUGGAUCGUCGCAAGACGAACAGAAGCGAA